Molecule: small nuclear RNA, 108 nt
Organism: Mirounga angustirostris (Northern elephant seal)
Lineage: Eukaryota; Metazoa; Chordata; Mammalia; Carnivora; Phocidae
Source: RefSeq, a predicted model, not a curated record
GUGACUCUCUUUGGCGGCACAUAUACUAAAAUUGGAAUGAUACAGAGAAGAUUAUCAUGGCCCCUGCACAAGGAUGACACGCAAAUUUGUGAAGCAUAUCAUAUAAGA